Meleagris gallopavo (turkey) is the source of this 1771-nucleotide long non-coding RNA. RefSeq lists it as uncharacterized. The record is from RefSeq and is a predicted model, not a curated record. Lineage: Eukaryota; Metazoa; Chordata; Aves; Galliformes; Phasianidae.
UCUCACUCCAAAAUGUCCUACUACCUCAGCUCCUUCUGUAACAUUGCUGCACAGGUAUGCACAUUUAGCUCAUGGUUUAUGCUUCUAUCAUUCCAGUUGAGCAUCCCUAACUGCACCUGACAGGAACCCCCCGCAGGUUGGCCUACAUGCAGAAGUUCAAGCCCUUCAGGCCCUCCUCUGAAGCUGAUGGGACUCUCUCUGUAGUGAACGCUUCCUGUAAGGCUGCAGGUAGUGCUGCCCUUGGACAAGAAGACAACUGCAUGAGAAAGCCAUGUUGCCGCCCACACGUCAGAUAACUGCUGGUAACCAACCCUCACUGCACAGCCAGCCAUAGUGGUGGCAUGGUGUAACUCAAGGAGCUGGAGCGAGAAGCAUGCAUCCAUAUGCUGGUGGAAGCAUCCAUCCUAUUGCAGAGCCAGGCCCUUUGGCUGAAGCAAUGUAGAGAUGGGAGUCAUGGAAGUCAUUCCUCUCAGCCUACAGCAGACCAGAUGAACUUACUUCUCCACGUUUUUCACUCCCAGGAUUGCUGAAUUUUAUGCCGUCAAACCCUUCAUUUUAAAGUCAAUUUCAAAUCUUGCAACAGAAGAUGGUUUCUGUCGCUGUGUUUAUAGCCAGUAAGAGACAAGGUUACCCCUGAGCUGCAUAACAAACUGAUACAACAUCCUAUACAGCCUGGUUUCCUUCUCAUGAGACUUAGUUCCUCAGACAACAAGCAAAUACAUCACUCCACUUGCUUGGAGAGGACUUUCACUUCCUUCUGAUGUACACUACCUCAAGAAUGAUUAAACUUUGGGCUUAUUUUGCAAAAUGCAUUUCUGCUUCACCCAGCAGCUCUGCAUUGUGGCACCAUUGCUGGCUGAGCUGCAGGUCUGCAAGGACGCCUGUGCACGUUCCAGAGUAUGCAAGUGAGACACUUCUGCCUCCUCGCUGCUCAGAAGGACGUGGCACGGGGCUCGGCACUACAGUCUUGGAGAAGUAAGCACAACUUCGGUCUCUCCCUGCCAUCUCCCCAGGAACACACAGUGCAUUACAACUUUGGGCAUCAGUCCUUCUUUUCUUGCCUAAAAAUAGAGCUGGAAUGGGACUGUUUGAGACACAGCCUUAUGGUAAACAAGGAAAUUGAGCACACAACCACACAAAGCUUUGUUUAUUUUUCUGUCAGGAUAUGUAAACUGUUAAAAUAUAUUGACUGUAGUUUAUUAUUUUGGAGCCAAUUCCCAACAAGUUUAAGAAAACCUGCUGCUGCUCGGCUGCUCCAGCACACUGCAGAUCUCAAAGGCUACUUGCACGAUUACAGGCUUUACUGCAGCAGGCAUUUUGAUUCAUUUAGCACACAAGGUAAAAGACGUGUAGCUCUAUGCCAACUAGUAUAAACAUUUAUAUUACGAUUGCCUAAAAUUGUCCAUUAUAACCUAAUUUUCAAUUGUCUAUGGGGUAGGCAAACAUUUGCCUGUUUUUAUGUCAGAUUGAAAGUAGAAAUCCAUUUUCAUGGACAAAAAACCCACCCAAACAGCCCAGCCUGACUCAGAGCCACACAGAACAUAGCAUGCUGGACCUGUCACAAAGAGCUGAGACUCUCAGGUUGGAUGGAUGCUCAGCUUCACCUGGAACACCAGUUGCAGGUUUGAUCACCACAGAAUAACAAGGACAUAAAGCUAUCUGAGAGUGUCCAAAGGAGGGUAACAAAGAUGGGGAGGGAUCUAGAAGAGAAGAUGUAUGAGGAGCAGCUGAGGUCCCUGAGGCUGAGGUGUGCUCAGCGCAGAGCAGAGGA